RNAcentral lists this small RNA (174 nucleotides) under Paenibacillus ferrarius. RNAcentral describes it as "Magnesium sequence". It matches the Rfam family "M-box riboswitch aptamer (ykoK leader)". From Rfam's summary of the family: M-box riboswitch, also know as ykoK leader is described as a metaloregulatory RNA that sense divalent metals and function as a genetic control element of genes related to divalent metal transport in bacteria. The record is from Rfam by way of RNAcentral. Lineage: Bacteria; Bacillati; Bacillota; Bacilli; Caryophanales; Paenibacillaceae.
AUAUGACCUCGUUAGGUGAGGCUCCUAUACAAACACAGGCCACUGCCCGGAAACAUCGAAAGAUGCCAAUGGGUAGAACAGGGAUUGCCGGAUUAAGGCUUUUCAUAAGGUGGCUAAGGGAUCUUGUAUCUCUUUACGUUGUAUAGUGCUAAAGCUCGACUAGGGGGAACCGGU